Molecule: ribosomal RNA, 253 nt
Filed under: uncultured bacterium
Lineage: Bacteria
Description: partial 16S ribosomal RNA
Rfam family: Bacterial small subunit ribosomal RNA
Source: RNAcentral
UACGUAGGGUGCGAGCGUUGUCCGGAAUUAUUGGGCGUAAAGGGCUCGUAGGCGGUCUGUCACGUCGGGAGUGAAAACACGGGGCUUAACCCCGUGCCUGCUUCCGAUACGGGCAGACUAGAGGUAUGCAGGGGAGAACGGAAUUCCUGGUGUAGCGGUGAAAUGCGCAGAUAUCGGGAGGAACACCGGUGGCGAAGGCGGUUCUCUGGGCAUUACCUGACGCUGAGGAGCGAAAGUGUGGGGAGCGAACAGG